UGGAAAAUCUGUGGGAGGGGGUGGGAUAAGAGGGUGGGGUCAAGUGUGAUCCGGAUUUAGUGGGGUUAAAGGGUCCGUAGGCGGGGCUAUAAGUCAGUGGUGAAAUCUCACAGCUUAACUGUGAAACUGCCGUUGAUACUGUAGGUCUUGAGUAAAUUUGAAGUGGCUGGAAUAAGUAGUGUAGCGGUGAAAUGCAUAGAUAUUACUUAGAACACCAAUUGCGAAGGCAGGUCACUAAGAUUUAACUGACGCUGAGGGACGAAAGCGUGGGGAGCAAACAGGAUUAGAUACCCCUGUAGUC
RNAcentral lists this ribosomal RNA (301 nucleotides) under uncultured Dysgonomonas sp. RNAcentral describes it as "bacterial SSU rRNA". The stretch from base 53 to 301 matches the Rfam family "Bacterial small subunit ribosomal RNA", at positions 547 to 795 of the family's 1533-position model. Lineage: Bacteria; Pseudomonadati; Bacteroidota; Bacteroidia; Bacteroidales; Dysgonomonadaceae. The record is from RNAcentral.